Molecule: long non-coding RNA, 562 nt
Organism: Phoenix dactylifera (date palm)
Lineage: Eukaryota; Viridiplantae; Streptophyta; Magnoliopsida; Arecales; Arecaceae
Source: RefSeq, a predicted model, not a curated record
GGCUUUUGGUACUAAAAAAACAGCGGCGGUUGUUGCAGUAUGAUCGGGUAUAGAUCUUGGAAAGGACUUUAAUUAGUAUGUUCUAUAUUGACUUGACAGGAACAUGGUUUCAGGACAGGCAGUCCGGCUGGACGACUUGACUCCCACGAUCUAGAUGAGUCUUUGGAGCUGUGGAAUGUGAUAGAGAACCAAACCAUGACGGUCCAGGCACACGAAGGUCUUAUUGCAGCAUUGGCACAGUCACAAGCCACAGGAAUGGUGGCCUCUGCUAGCCAUGACAAGUCUGUUAAGCUGUGGAAGUAAGCAUGGGGGGUGUUGCAGUGGAAGUAAGCUGUGGAAGUAAGCCACAGGAAUUUUUGGAAGCUACUUUGAUGGUUUAUGUAUUCGUAGACUAAAUGUUUUGUGUCAUCUGUACUGAACUUCUUGUUCUAUCUUACUAAUCCCAGUGGUGUAGAAAUGCAUACCUUGUUAUAAUUAGUGUUGGAAGCAGUGGAACAGAGCUACUGCUGCACUGAUUGUUGGUAAAUCUUAGUUUUUAAGGUAACACGUGCUUGCUUUUCCA